Molecule: long non-coding RNA, 1730 nt
Filed under: Carassius auratus (goldfish)
Lineage: Eukaryota; Metazoa; Chordata; Actinopteri; Cypriniformes; Cyprinidae
Description: lncRNA (ENSCARG00000050159.1)
Source: RNAcentral
CGGGCGUCCGUCAUCAGUGAUGUGAUUCAGGUGUACAGCGGCAGACUUCUGCGAGACCAUGAGAGAGGCCACGGAGCUCUCCAUGAACACCUCCAUCAGACAGGAUGUGGAAUCAUAUAUCCACCGAUCUGGACAGACCGGCCAAGCCGGAAGAACAGACAUCUUCAUCUGUUUCUGCCGGCGGAAGGAGGAGAGCCAGCUCAAGGAGCAGAAAGCGAUGAGACAGUAUUUGGAGCAGCUCUUUGUGUAAUGUAGGGUGAAUUCAUUUAACUAUGACGCUUUUAUUCUAACCAAUUUCCCAACAGCCCUGAAUCAACCCAAAAUAAUAUCAUUAGUGUUAAGGAUGUUCAUUUUAACCAUUAACGACCGUUAAGAAUUUUGACCGAUUUAUACAAUCAGUUAAACGGUUUAAAAGUCAUUUAUUUACUUGUUUAUUUUCAGCAAUUUAUAAAAAUAUUGUAAAAGUUUUGGUGCAUGGUUAAAGUUACGCAUAUAAAUAGAUUGUCGCUUUUUUAUUUCAUUCAGAAAUAGGCCUAUUGCCAACACGUAAUGUUUACAAACAUUAUAAUAAACUGUAAACAUCGCUAGGAUAUUUUAGUUCCCCUCACUAAACAAAAUCCUUUCAAUGAACAGUAUUUAGAAAAAAACAAGAAUUAAAAAUAUAAGAAGCUAGCAAUAUAAAUGACAAGCCAAAACAAAUUCAUUUAGGCUAAAACGAAACAGAAACCAAUGCUGGGUCUCUCAUUCGACACAAAAUCAAAUGUUUCCGUAUUCGCAGUGUGUUUGAAUGAAAAAUUAUUAUUCAUUACAGCCUACUUCACUCACGUUCCAGUAUCCAUGUAAAACUACAUGUUUUGCAUAACAUCACACCGUUACGAACACUUAACAGCACAGAUUUUAUUACAUAUUUAAACUGAGCACUGUGUAUUUUUCCAUAUGUUUGACUGACUGUAUCUCAUUAUAUUAAAGAACAGACUGCAUUGUCAUGGUAGCAAAGCUUAACUGUGCGCACACAUGCAGCACCAGCAAUCACUUGAAGUUUUUCCUUACAGUGGAAACAACUUCGUUUAGUCAUGAAGAUAAUCUGAAAUGUAAACAGUUUGUCUUUAUUUGUGUAUAUUCACAAUAAAAAUGUGCGUAAAAUAAGCCUUAAGAAAAUAGGAUGCUGCUUUCUGCCUUCCGUUUCCUUUCAUACAGCACAAAAAUUUUAUGAAACUCUGCAUUUUUCUUUAAUUUUCAUAAUUUAUUAUUCAAGUAAACAUAUAUUUUUCAUUUAGGCCUAUUUAUAUGCUAUAUAUAGCCUAGCUUUAAGAUAUUAUUCUCCUCUUGCAGAAGCGCUGUAAAAUUCAUCCCAAGGAAACAAAUGUUAUUAUUUUUAAUGGGUCACAGACACUUAUCCUUUCUAAUUUAAUUCAAUUCUAAUUUAAAAUAAUCUUGUCGGUUAACGGUUAAUAAUUGGUUAACGAGCAUCAGUUGACGGUUAGGAAAAAUAACCAAAAUGAACAUCCCUAAUUAGUGCGAAUAAACCAGUGGCAAUCAUUUGAACAAAUGAUGGUUGGUUGAUUAAGGAACCGUUUCUUGUCUUCUCCUGCUCCAGGAGAGAGGUCGGGGUCCCAACAGCCAACAAUAUCAUCCAAUCCUCCAGUAAAGACAUUGUGAGGUCAGAGAACUUCACAAGUAUGAUACAUACAGCUGUUUCAAUUUAAUGUAUCAGACUGAAUGCUGUAGGG